UACGGAGGGGGCUAGCGUUAUUCGGAAUUAUUGGGCGUAAAGGGCGUGUAGGCGGCUUCGUAAGUCUUGUGUGAAAGCCCUCGGCUCAACCGAGGAAUUGCACGAGAAACUGCGUGGCUCGAGUCCGGGAGAGGAUAGUGGAAUUCCUGGUGUAGCGGUGAAAUGCGCAGAUAUCAGGAAGAACACCCGUGGCGAAGGCGGCUUUCUGGGACGGUACUGACGCUGAGACGCGAAAGCGUGGGGAGCGAACAGG
Molecule: ribosomal RNA, 253 nt
Filed under: uncultured bacterium
Lineage: Bacteria
Description: partial 16S ribosomal RNA
Rfam family: Bacterial small subunit ribosomal RNA
Source: RNAcentral